This 492-nucleotide ribosomal RNA is filed under the name uncultured bacterium. Its description in RNAcentral is "bacterial SSU rRNA". It matches the Rfam family "Bacterial small subunit ribosomal RNA", at positions 802 to 1298 of the family's 1533-position model. The record is from RNAcentral.
GUAAACGAUGUGCACAGGUGUCGGGGGGUAGCCCUCGGUACCGAAGCGAACGCGAUGAGUGCACCGCCUGGGGAGUAUGCCCGCAAGGGUGAAACUCAAAGGAAUUGACGGGGGCCCGCACAAGCGGUGGAGCAUGUGGUUUAAUUCGAUGGUACGCGAGGAACCUUACCAGGGCUUGACAUGCGCAGGAAUCAUGGGGAAACCCAUGAGCCGCUUGCGGCCUGCGCACAGGUGCUGCAUGGCUGUCGUCAGCUCGUGCUGUGAAGUGUUGGGUUAAGUCCCGCAACGAGCGCAACCCCUGCCGUCUGUUACCAGCAUGCAAAGAUGGGGACUCAGACGGAACUGCCGGUGACAAACCGGAGGAAGGUGUGGACGACGUCAAGUCAUCAUGGCCCUUAUGUCCUGGGCGACACACGUGCUACAAUGGCCGGUACAGAGCGAAGCGAGCCUGCGAAGGCGAGCGAACCGCGAAAAGCCGGUCUCAGUACGGAU